Molecule: non-coding RNA, 104 nt
Organism: Acanthosepion pharaonis
Lineage: Eukaryota; Metazoa; Mollusca; Cephalopoda; Sepiida; Sepiidae
Source: the annotation of a GenBank genome assembly
CAGCACGUUAAAAUACCGGUCCCCUUAUAAUCACCGAAGUUAAGCAAAGUUGAGCCUGGUCAGUACCUAGAUAGGUGACCAUUUUGGAAUACUAGGUGCAGCAA